RNAcentral lists this ribosomal RNA (630 nucleotides) under Westerdykella purpurea. Its description in RNAcentral is "eukaryotic LSU rRNA". It matches the Rfam family "Eukaryotic large subunit ribosomal RNA", at positions 1 to 643 of the family's 3401-position model. Lineage: Eukaryota; Fungi; Ascomycota; Dothideomycetes; Pleosporales; Sporormiaceae. The record is from RNAcentral.
GUUUGACCUCGAAUCAGGUAGGGAUACCCGCUGAACUUAAGCAUAUCAAUAAGCGGAGGAAAAGAAACCAACAGGGAUUGCCUCAGUAACGGCGAGUGAAGCGGCAACAGCUCAAAUUUGAAAUCUGGCCCUCUCAGGGUCCGAGUUGUAAUUUGCAGAGGGCGCUUUGGCGAUGGCUGUGGUCUAAGUUCCUUGGAACAGGACGUCACAGAGGGUGAGAAUCCCGUACGUGGCCGCCAGCCUCCGCCGUGUAAAGCCCCUUCGACGAGUCGAGUUGUUUGGGAAUGCAGCUCAAAAUGGGAGGUAAAUUCCUUCUAAAGCUAAAUACUGGCCAGAGACCGAUAGCGCACAAGUAGAGUGAUCGAAAGAUGAAAAGCACUUUGGAAAGAGAGUCAAAAAGCACGUGAAAUUGUUGAAAGGGAAGCGCUUGCAGCCAGACUUGCCUGUAGUUGCUCACCUGGGCUCUUGCCCUGGGUAUUCUUCUGCGGGCAGGCCAGCAUCAGUCCGGGCGGUUGGAUAAAUGCCUGCUAAAUGUACCUCUCUUCGGGGAGGACUUAUAGGGUAGGUGGCAUACGACCAGCCUGGAUUGAGGUCCGCGCAUCUGCUAGGAUGCUGGCGUAAUGGCUGUAA